UACGUAGGGUGCGAGCGUUAAUCGGAUUUACUGGGCGUAAAGCGUGCGCAGGCGGCCCGUUAAGACAGGUGUGAAAUCCCUGGGCUCAACCUAGGAAUUGCGCUUGUGACUGGCGGGCUCGAGUACGGUAGAGGGGGGUGGAAUUCCUGGUGUAGCAGUGAAAUGCGUAGAGAUCAGGAGGAACACCGAUGGCGAAGGCAGCGCCCUGGGCCUGUACUGACGCUCAUGCACGAAAGCGUGGGGAGCAAACAGG
This 253-nucleotide ribosomal RNA is filed under the name uncultured microorganism. RNAcentral describes it as "partial 16S ribosomal RNA". It matches the Rfam family "Bacterial small subunit ribosomal RNA", at positions 524 to 776 of the family's 1533-position model. The record is from RNAcentral.